Pelobates cultripes (western spadefoot toad) is the source of this 398-nucleotide non-coding RNA. Lineage: Eukaryota; Metazoa; Chordata; Amphibia; Anura; Pelobatidae. The record is from the annotation of a GenBank genome assembly.
AAAACAAUAAAAAUAAGUAAAAAGGGAAAAAUAAAACUCACAUUUGAAAGAGCUAAACUUGCUCUAGUAUAGAAGGCGUACAGCGGUUUGAUCCCCGCUUAUGGGAUAUAGGGUAGACUUCCUCCGUCAGUGGUGUAUCCAACACUCGGGUAGAAAGAAACAGCCAAUAGUGUACACUGAGUAAAAUAUUGGUAAUAAAAUAAAUAAAAUAGAAUGGGUACUCACAAGACGGGAGCAGAACAACUGCUCAUUGACGUAGCGCUGGUGGUAUAAUCCCCACCUAGGAUUUCUUGGAGUCCGGGAUGUUGAAAGGAUGCCAGGUAGUAAAUGAGUUAGAGUGUAUAAAAGGAUAAGUGGCACAGAUAAAAAGUAACCAAAUAUACUUUAAUAUAUAUAAA